GAGAUGUUGGGUUAAGGUCCGUAACGAGCGCAACCCUGUCCUUAGUUACCAGCACGUAUGGUGGGCGACUCUAAGGAGGACUGCCGGUGCAAACCGGAGGAAGUGGGGAUGACGUCAAGUCAUCAUGGCCCUUACGGCCUGGGCUACACACGUGCUACAAUGGUCGGUACAAAGGGUUGCCAAGCCGCGAGGUGGAGCUAAUCCCAUAAAACCGAUCGUAGUCCGGAUCGCAGUCUGCAACUCGACUGCGUGAAGUCGGAAUCGCUAGUAAUCGUGAAUCAGAAUGUCACGGUGAAUACGUUCCCGGGCCUU
RNAcentral lists this ribosomal RNA (312 nucleotides) under uncultured Pseudomonas sp. RNAcentral describes it as "bacterial SSU rRNA". It matches the Rfam family "Bacterial small subunit ribosomal RNA", at positions 1069 to 1382 of the family's 1533-position model. The record is from RNAcentral. Lineage: Bacteria; Pseudomonadati; Pseudomonadota; Gammaproteobacteria; Pseudomonadales; Pseudomonadaceae.